AAGCUCGUAGUUGAAUUUCGGGGUCAGUAGGUUGGUCGUGCCACCGGUACGUACUGGUCUCACUGAUUCCUCCUUCCUGAUGAGCUGUAAUGCCAUCAAUUUGGUGUUGCAGGGAAUCUGGACUGUUACUUUGAAAAAACUUAGAGUGUUUAAACGCAGGCUAACGCUUGAAUACAUUAGCAUGGAAUAAUGAAAUAGGACGUUCGAUCCUAUUUUAGUUGAUUUCUAGGAUUGACGUAAUGAUUAAUAGGGUAUAGUUGGG
RNAcentral lists this ribosomal RNA (262 nucleotides) under uncultured Glomus. RNAcentral describes it as "partial 18S ribosomal RNA". It matches the Rfam family "Eukaryotic small subunit ribosomal RNA", at positions 624 to 887 of the family's 1831-position model. Lineage: Eukaryota; Fungi; Glomeromycota; Glomeromycetes; Glomerales; Glomeraceae. The record is from RNAcentral.